UGAGCAAUCUGCCCUUCUCAUCGGAAUAAGCGUUGGAAACGACGUCUAAUGCCGAAUACGACCUCCUUUCGCAUGAUCGGAGGUGGAAAGCUCCGGCGGAGAAGGAUGAACUCGCGGCCUAUCAGCUAGUUGGUGUGGGUAAUGGCCCACCAAGGCGACGACGGGUAGCCGGCCUGAGAGGGUGACCGGCCACACUGGGACUGAGACACGGCCCAGACCUCCGUACGGGAGGNAGCG
RNAcentral lists this ribosomal RNA (237 nucleotides) under uncultured bacterium. Its description in RNAcentral is "partial 16S ribosomal RNA". It matches the Rfam family "Bacterial small subunit ribosomal RNA", at positions 118 to 353 of the family's 1533-position model. The record is from RNAcentral.